UACAGAGGGUGCGAGCGUUGUCCGGAAUCACUGGGCGUAAAGGGCGCGUAGGCGGCGCGGUAAGCGUGCGGUGAAAGCCCGGGGCUCAACCCCGGGUCGGCCGUGCGGACUGCCGGGCUGGAGCACUGUAGAGGCAGGUGGAAUUCCGGGUGUAGCGGUGGAAUGCGUAGAGAUCCGGAAGAACACCGGUGGCGAAGGCGGCCUGCUGGGCAGUAGCUGACGCUGAAGCGCGAAAGCCAGGGGAGCAAACGGG
RNAcentral lists this ribosomal RNA (253 nucleotides) under uncultured bacterium. RNAcentral's name for it is "partial 16S ribosomal RNA". It matches the Rfam family "Bacterial small subunit ribosomal RNA", at positions 524 to 776 of the family's 1533-position model. The record is from RNAcentral.